This 2057-nucleotide unclassified non-coding RNA is filed under the name Hevea brasiliensis (rubber tree). Lineage: Eukaryota; Viridiplantae; Streptophyta; Magnoliopsida; Malpighiales; Euphorbiaceae. The record is from RNAcentral.
GGGAAAUUCAGAGACAACUCUAUUGGAGGUGAAGAGUAGCAUUCAAAUUUCUACAAUGCGGUAUUUGUAUUUACUGCGCAAAUUCUUCUAUUUGACAAGUUGAACAUCCUAAAAACAUUCAGAUGGAAAAGCAAGAAACAACCAGUGCAUUUAUGUUAAAAAAAAAAAAAAACACUUCAAGCAAAAGGAGAAGAAAACAAAAUAUAAGUCUACCUAGAUCUAUGAAGAUGUUAGCAUCUAAAACUUGCGCACAUUUCCUGUGGUACUACUACAUCCCCACUCCUCUCCCUUGGAAAAGAGGAGGAAAAUCAACUUCAUCCUUCAGACGAUAUGAAUUCUGUGCAAUCCUUUCUUGCUCAUUUUCUAAAACUGGUUCAGACCCCUCUGCUGCCGUUUCUACUGGGAUUGAAGCAGAGCCCCAUGUACAUGAAAUGCCAGAAUAAAGUGGGGUGAUCCUUUCUGGCAUGGACUCUUCAUGCCGUUGAAGGCCCUCAGACCCAGAAUCAAUUCUUUCAGAUAGGCGAGAGAAGCCAUUGGCAUUGAAAGAACCCCACACGGAUGACUGAGAUAUCCGAAUCUCUGAUGGUACAGGCUUUCCAUUCCCCAGAUAUGGGUAUUCUGCCUCUGAAAGCUCAUGGCCAGAUUUAGAAGAAUUUCUCUCUUGUGAAGUUGCAGCUAACACAUUAUCAUGAGUGUGCUUAUGCAGCUCACCAUUUCCUCCUGCAGUCUGGUUCUUCCCUCUUCCUGAAGGCAGCCUAUCCCAAUUUGAAUGAUAACUCAUGCUGGGAAUGUAUGUUCCUGUUCCUCGUCGUUUUCUCUUUUCUUCAGAAUUGAAAGCAGCACUCAGUGGUGCUGGAGGGUUCAAAGAGUAUCUUUGUUGUCUCGAAACACCAUUUUUGUUCAUUUGAGAUUGAACAUUCUGUUUCAAUUGUAAGGAUUGACGGACAGUUUCCCAAGGAUUUUUAUUAUCAGACUGAGGUAACAUGGGAGGAAAGAGUAGUAUGGGAGCAGAUACAGCAUAGAAAUGGCAAUAUUGACCAAAUACCACACUCCUAAAGUGGCUUUCAUAAUCUCCAUUGAGGUCCAAUAAGGAUUUGAAAGAUUGAGAGUUCCCAGAAAUGCUAGCAAAGUCUCUUUCCCCAAUAGUAGGAGUUAGGUUCUCUGCUGAGGUGUUAUUGACAAGAAUUGCAAUUGCUGAACCCAAAGCAGCUUUACCCUCGUGAUUAGCACAUGAACAGGUUGAAUUGUUAACCACAAAAUGGUUCUCUUUGGAUUCUGACCUUAAUGUGCAGCCAAUUGCACCAUCAGUCAUUUUUCCAUAGGAUAUCUUAUUUUCAAAAUUUCCAUUUUCUCCACAUGAUGUCUCACAAAGUUGAUCGCUACUGUAAUCAACAGUUGAUUUCAGAAGCAUACUACCUUCAGAGCUUUUAUCAGAAAAUGAUGAUGAGGAUGAAUUAUCAGAAUUUCCACUGCCAGAUACUACACAAGACUUUUGAACAUGACUCCAAUAAUUGCGCCCAUGUCCGUCCAAAGUAUUUUCAAAGAACUUGUUGAGCUCAUUGAUCAUUUUCUCACUUGGUAAUGAAAGAAUCCGGCUAAGAAUGCGAGCUCCAUAUUUGAAAGCACCCUGUAUUCGAUGGAAGCUAGCUCUGUUUACACUGCGGCCCAAGUUGUUAUUUUCUUUCAGAGAAUCAACUACAUUUAGAUGCUUCAGGGGAAAAGGCCGUGAAUUGAUCUCAGGACUCCUUGAUGGUAUUGAGAACAUAUCCACACAUUUUCUAAGAAAUUCAUCACUAAGCAACAAUUCAUCCUUCCCAUUUUCAGGUGGCUCAGCGACAAUGUUGGGAAGAGAAGAUUUGCAAACUGGCCCAUUUAUACUAAUACAAUAAUUAUCCCAAUCGAACUUGCUGAAGUAAUCCAGGAAUUUGUACAGAACUGCCAAAGGCCCACUUAAGGAAGUGUGAAAUACGUGGAGGAUAUACAAAACUAGUGUUUCCAAAGCAUAUGUUGAAAUUAAACCAUGAUGGGCACCAAGAAUACGACUCUCAUAAUAACAC